GACGAACGCUGGCGGCGUGCCUAAUACAUGCAAGUAGAACGCUGAAACUUGGUGCUUGCACCGAGCGGAUGAGUUGCGAACGGGUGAGUAACGCGUAGGUAACCUGCCUGGUAGCGGGGGAUAACUAUUGGAAACGAUAGCUAAUACCGCAUAAGAGUAGAUGUUGCAUGACUUUUGCUUAAAAGGUGCAAUUGCACCACUACCAGAUGGACCUGCGUUGUAUUAGCUAGUUGGUGGGGUAACGGCUCACCAAGGCGACGAUACAUAGCCGACCUGAGAGGGUGAUCGGCCACACUGGGACUGAGACACGGCCCAGACUCCUACGGGAGGCAGCAGUAGGGAAUCUUCGGCAAUGGACGGAAGUCUGACCGAGCAACGCCGCGUGAGUGAAGAAGGUUUUCGGAUCGUAAAGCUCUGUUGUAAGAGAAGAACGAGUGUGAGAGUGGAAAGUUCACACUGUGACGGUAUCUUACCAGAAAGGGACGGCUAACUACGUG
RNAcentral lists this ribosomal RNA (497 nucleotides) under uncultured bacterium. RNAcentral describes it as "partial 16S ribosomal RNA". It matches the Rfam family "Bacterial small subunit ribosomal RNA", at positions 28 to 507 of the family's 1533-position model. The record is from RNAcentral.